Molecule: long non-coding RNA, 2648 nt
Filed under: Citrus x clementina
Lineage: Eukaryota; Viridiplantae; Streptophyta; Magnoliopsida; Sapindales; Rutaceae
Description: Citrus clementina (C. clementina) long non-coding RNA (CCLE_LNC005418)
Source: RNAcentral
UAUCAUGCUUGUAAUAGGCAUUUUGUAAAGUAUAUAUAUGUAGUAUAAUUAGAUAAUGUGGUGAUUAUGUCAAGCUAUAUAAUACAAUUUUAAUUUGAUCUUGAUUGAGAGAAUCAAUCACUUGAAUACUUUGGCCGGAUCAUGAUUACAUGAUAACCCAUCAGAGAAGACUUUUUGAAGAUAGUAUAUUAGGCCGAUCUCUCUCUUUUACAUCUUUGAACAUAGCACAUAGAACACAACCAUGAUCUCAUUGAAAAGAUGUGAAGAAACUAAGAAUGAUCAAUGAAUGCAUAAAGCAUUAUGAUAGUAUAAGUGCACGACAAAGAAAAUCAUAGAUAUAUUAUACGUAUUUAGUUUCAAAUUAAUUAGUUAAUUUUUAAAUUAUGUAUUGAUUGGGUCUUAUAAAAAUAUAAGAUUUUUUUUGAAAAUUUAUUAUCUAUUAAAUUUGAUAAAUUAUUAUUUUACCAUAUUGUCCCCAAGUCAAGAUUGACAGAAAGUAUUAUUUAAUUGAGAUUAUAAAUUUAUCGAAGGUGAAUUUAACAAGGCUUUAAACUACAAAUAAUGUUGUGGAACAAUAAUGCAAAAUUAUGCCGUGAAGUCCACGACUUGAGAGAAGCUGUGGCAGAAUUAAAAUCUAGUCAGAGUAAGCUGAAAUUGCACAUUAUUUUGUGUGUAAAGGCAACCAUAGCAAUAAAUGCCUAUAUCUAGUGAGGUUGCGAGAGAUGUAUGAAGUGUACAAGGGACAUUUUGGAGUGCAAAUGUUGGUGAAGAACAAGGACCGAGUACUGACACUGUAAAAUGCUUCAUAUGCCAAUGAUAUCACACUACACAAGAAUGUCCUGUGAGAGAAACCUUUCAAGGGUUGCUUGCAACUGAGUUGAUGGGAUGUCUUAAACAAGAAAAUGUCACAAAAUAUGUAUGUAAAGCACAAGAUUAAAGAGUGUGAUUUUAUUUUUGUCAAAAUCGUUAGAACUAAAUGCUUAUUUAAGGUCAAGUUAUUAAAUGUUAAAUUUAAUAUCAAUAAUUUUAUCUUUGUUAAUUUCUAACAUUGUGAUUAACUCUUGAAGCCAUAUUCAGCUAAUUAUUUUUAAUUAUUUUUAUUGAAAUAGGAAAUACGCCAUGAGAAUGAUAGAUAAUUUUUCUAUAGAUUGUCAUACAUGUGGGGGUAUUUUGUUAAUACAAAGCUGUUAAUUACAAUAGUGAUGUUUAUCGGUUUUUUGUGUUUGAGAACACAUAAAAAGAUAAUAAAUUAAGAAAUGCAUUUUUGAAUAAAUCCAAAAUGGAUUUAACCGCUUUUUUCUUCUUUUCUAUUUGAGCUUCUAAUUAUCUUUAAUGAUACUUUCAUGAGCUCAUCUACGUAAGGUUAAACCUAGAUGGCAUAAAAACACUAGAAUUAAAGUGUUUUAGACUCUAUUGACAGUAGAUCUCUUCAAAACUUUAGAAGAAGCUAUUGGUUCAUGAAAUGCACUUUGUUGAAGAUUUCCUUAAUGGUGAAUUAAAUCCAUACAUGGGGCAGCGGAUUUUCAAGGAAAAGAUAAAUCUCAAGCGUCGUGUCGGCACGCCUAGCUACUGUGUGACAUGGAUGUUCCAUUUACCCUUUUGCCAUGAAGAUUUCAUUGCAAUUAUGUUGGAUACAUUCCAUAAAUAGACCAAAUUACAAGCAAAUUGCACUAGUUAGGUCCCCAAGAAAGAGUGAUUUGGUUUGAAAUGGUCCAACUUAAAACGUUGAGUCCUUAGCUAAUAUGUACCUUUGUUAGAGCAAAAUUCUUAAAAACUCUUGUGUAACUCAGUAGAUGUUCACAGCUAGAAUGAACGUACCCAUGAGAACUCAAAUGUUUUAAGGAAAGAUUCCAUUGUGGAAUACAUCAUCGUUUACAUGAAUGCAAGAAUAGUUCAAAGGCAUAGCAUUUAUUGGUUAGCCAAUAAAGUAAAUAUAUUUCCAUAAGAGAAGGUUGAAAGGUUAAGAUUACCUGUCUAUGUAGGUUUUGAUCCACUGAACUCUGUUGAAGUUAACAUGUUUUGAUAAAAAAAAAAUUUUGGUUUCUAUUUUCUGCCAAUUUUCAUUCAUAUGGGGGAUUAUUGGAAACAUAGCGCACAAACGAUUAUUUUGAGGCAUGAUUUUAAGCAGGACCCACUUGGUGUGAAUAUAAGGUCAAUGUUGUUUGGAUACUCCUCUAUGACUACUUAAAAAUAGUAUAUUUAUAUACUUAAAAUAAUACUUGGUUGAAUAGCUCAAAGUGCACCCAUGGAGUUGGAAAAUUUAUAGAAAAAUUCAUUUAUCCCACAUGACAAAGAGAGCUAAGGUAUGGAAGGUUUAUAUAUAAUACUUAUGUGUAUAUAGAUUAGAAUAUAUGCAUAGAUACUCUAUUUUGCGCGCACUUGUGCAAUGGGUACAAAUCCUAAUCCGAUUAGCUUGACUCAUGUGACCCACAUCCUGUGUAUGCAAAUGUCAGCCUAAAUCAUGCUAGAUCCGCCUUAGCCACUUUUUUUAAUUUUCUGAUAAUAUUUUUACAAAUGUAUUAAUGUAUAUAUGUAUGUAUGUAUGUGCAUAAUCAGAUAAAUUUAUUUCUAAUUAUGUGGUACAUUAUUAUAUUUAUUGCACUUAGAUAUUAUUAUCUUUACGUUUUUAACUUUGAAAACCUUUAAAU